CUGUCUGAUGAUGAUCAAACUAAAUACUUUCGUUCUUCUGAUGCGCUAAGGUGCGAUGCGGAAGCAAUUUGGAGACCUGAACUGAGGAUAU
Hordeum vulgare subsp. vulgare (domesticated barley) is the source of this 91-nucleotide non-coding RNA. The record is from Rfam. NCBI's taxonomy places the organism in Eukaryota, Viridiplantae, Streptophyta, Magnoliopsida, Poales, Poaceae.